AUGUUGAUUAUGCGGGCAGAGGGUGGGGGCCUUGGUUUACUCAUCCAGACAGACUGCAGCAUCCAAUUGUGGAAGAUGAAGACUGAUUGUGAUGGUGUUGCUUCAUGGGGGCUUGGAAGAACCACUGAACUGGACAAGCUACUUUCUCUGAAAUCUCAGGAGACUAACAUGUUGAUACCAGGGCUCGAGGAGGAAAAUAAUGUGGUAUUCGUGUGGGCAGAUCACAUCGUCUUAACGGUCCAUCUUGAGUCAAUGAAGUUCAAGAAGCUUUCUGGAACCUACCCCCUUUCUCAUUAUCAUCCAUUCAGAAGUGUCUACGCUGCAGCUAUCUAG
RNAcentral lists this ribosomal RNA (333 nucleotides) under Triticum aestivum (bread wheat). Its description in RNAcentral is "partial small subunit ribosomal RNA". Lineage: Eukaryota; Viridiplantae; Streptophyta; Magnoliopsida; Poales; Poaceae. The record is from RNAcentral.